This 2892-nucleotide ribosomal RNA is filed under the name Neisseria gonorrhoeae. RNAcentral's name for it is "23S ribosomal RNA". It matches the Rfam family "Bacterial large subunit ribosomal RNA". Lineage: Bacteria; Pseudomonadati; Pseudomonadota; Betaproteobacteria; Neisseriales; Neisseriaceae. The record is from RNAcentral.
AGUCAAGUGAAUAAGUGCAUCAGGCGGAUGCCUUGGCGAUGAUAGGCGACGAAGGACGUGUAAGCCUGCGAAAAGCGCGGGGGAGCUGGCAAUAAAGCUAUGAUUCCGCGAUGUCCGAAUGGGGAAACCCACUGCAUUCUGUGCAGUAUCCUAAGUUGAAUACAUAGGCUUAGAGAAGCGAACCCGGAGAACUGAACCAUCUAAGUACCCGGAGGAAAAGAAAUCAACCGAGAUUCCGCAAGUAGUGGCGAGCGAACGCGGAGGAGCCUGUACGUAAUAACUGUCGAGAUAGAAGAACAAGCUGGGAAGCUUGACCAUAGCGGGUGACAGUCCCGUAUUCGAAAUCUCAACAGCGGUACUAAGCGUACGAAAAGUAGGGCGGGACACGUGAAAUCCUGUCUGAAUAUGGGGGGACCAUCCUCCAAGGCUAAAUACUCAUCAUCGACCGAUAGUGAACCAGUACCGUGAGGGAAAGGCGAAAAGAACCCCGGGAGGGGAGUGAAACAGAACCUGAAACCUGAUGCAUACAAACAGUGGGAGCGCCCUAGUGGUGUGACUGCGUACCUUUUGUAUAAUGGGUCAACGACUUACAUUCAGUAGCGAGCUUAACCGGAUAGGGGAGGCGUAGGGAAACCGAGUCUUAAUAGGGCGAUGAGUUGCUGGGUGUAGACCCGAAACCGAGUGAUCUAUCCAUGGUCAGGUUGAAGGUGCCGUAACAGGUACUGGAGGACCGAACCCACGCAUGUUGCAAAAUGCGGGGAUGAGCUGUGGGUAGGGGUGAAAGGCUAAACAAACUCGGAGAUAGCUGGUUCUCCCCGAAAACUAUUUAGGUAGUGCCUCGAGCAAGACACUGAUGGGGGUAAAGCACUGUUAUGGCUAGGGGGUUAUUGCAACUUACCAACCCAUGGCAAACUCAGAAUACCAUCAAGUGGUUCCUCGGGAGACAGACAGCGGGUGCUAACGUCCGUUGUCAAGAGGGAAACAACCCAGACCGCCGGCUAAGGUCCCAAAUGAUAGAUUAAGUGGUAAACGAAGUGGGAAGGCACAGACAGCCAGGAUGUUGGCUUAGAAGCAGCCAUCAUUUAAAGAAAGCGUAAUAGCUCACUGGUCGAGUCGUCCUGCGCGGAAGAUGUAACGGGGCUCAAAUCUAUAACCGAAGCUGCGGAUGCCGGUUUACCGGCAUGGUAGGGGAGCGUUCUGUAGGCUGAUGAAGGUGCAUUGUAAAGUGUGCUGGAGGUAUCAGAAGUGCGAAUGUUGACAUGAGUAGCGAUAAAGCGGGUGAAAAGCCCGCUCGCCGAAAGCCCAAGGUUUCCUACGCAACGUUCAUCGGCGUAGGGUGAGUCGGCCCCUAAGGCGAGGCAGAAAUGCGUAGUCGAUGGGAAACAGGUUAAUAUUCCUGUACUUGAUUCAAAUGCGAUGUGGGGACGGAGAAGGUUAGGUUGGCAAGCUGUUGGAAUAGCUUGUUUAAGCCGGUAGGUGGAAGACUUAGGCAAAUCCGGGUUUUCUUAACACCGAGAAGUGAUGACGAGUGUCUACGGACACGAAGCAACCGAUACCACGCUUCCAGGAAAAGCCACUAAGCUUCAGUUUGAAUCGAACCGUACCGCAAACCGACACAGGUGGGCAGGAUGAGAAUUCUAAGGCGCUUGAGAGAACUCGGGAGAAGGAACUCGGCAAAUUGAUACCGUAACUUCGGGAGAAGGUAUGCCCUCUAAGGUUAAGGACUUGCUCCGUAAGCCCCGGAGGGUCGCAGAGAAUAGGUGGCUGCGACUGUUUAUUAAAAACACAGCACUCUGCCAACACGAAAGUGGACGUAUAGGGUGUGACGCCUGCCCGGUGCCGGAAGGUUAAUUGAAGAUGUGCAAGCAUCGGAUCGAAGCCCCGGUAAACGGCGGCCGUAACUAUAACGGUCCUAAGGUAGCGAAAUUCCUUGUCGGGUAAGUUCCGACCCGCACGAAUGGCGUAACGAUGGCCACACUGUCUCCUCCCGAGACUCAGCGAAGUUGAAGUGGUUGUGAAGAUGCAAUCUACCCGCUGCUAGACGGAAAGACCCCGUGAACCUUUACUGUAGCUUUGCAUUGGACUUUGAAGUCACUUGUGUAGGAUAGGUGGGAGGCUUGGAAGCAGAGACGCCAGUCUCUGUGGAGUCGUCCUUGAAAUACCACCCUGGUGUCUUUGAGGUUCUAACCCAGACCCGUCAUCCGGGUCGGGGACCGUGCAUGGUAGGCAGUUUGACUGGGGCGGUCUCCUCCCAAAGCGUAACGGAGGAGUUCGAAGGUUACCUAGGUCCGGUCGGAAAUCGGACUGAUAGUGCAAUGGCAAAAGGUAGCUUAACUGCGAGACCGACAAGUCGGGCAGGUGCGAAAGCAGGACAUAGUGAUCCGGUGGUUCUGUAUGGAAGGGCCAUCGCUCAACGGAUAAAAGGUACUCCGGGGAUAACAGGCUGAUUCCGCCCAAGAGUUCAUAUCGACGGCGGAGUUUGGCACCUCGAUGUCGGCUCAUCACAUCCUGGGGCUGUAGUCGGUCCCAAGGGUAUGGCUGUUCGCCAUUUAAAGUGGUACGUGAGCUGGGUUUAAAACGUCGUGAGACAGUUUGGUCCCUAUCUGCAGUGGGCGUUGGAAGUUUGACGGGGGCUGCUCCUAGUACGAGAGGACCGGAGUGGACGAACCUCUGGUGUACCGGUUGUAACGCCAGUUGCAUAGCCGGGUAGCUAAGUUCGGAAGAGAUAAGCGCUGAAAGCAUCUAAGCGCGAAACUCGCCUGAAGAUGAGACUUCCCUUGCGGUUUAACCGCACUAAAGGGUCGUUCGAGACCAGGACGUUGAUAGGUGGGGUGUGGAAGCGCGGUAACGCGUGAAGCUAACCCAUACUAAUUGCCCGUGAGGCUUGACUCU